CCCCAUUUCUUGGGUCCAUAACUUAACGCCAGCAAUCAAGCAAAUGAGAAGAGGAAAAUAGCCUCUCAUUUUAAUAAUUUCCAUUAUUUUAACAUCUCUCGUCGUGAUUUGCAAAUGCCCGAGAAGAAAAGGACAGGACCUGUGGCAUGGGCUAGCAAUUAGAAAACAGAUUCGCAAAGUGGCAUCGCUGGCAACAAGUUAAUAUCCCCAGCUUGAAAAUGAUCCUGGGUCAUUCAGUUGAGUAAUUCACCUCAUAAUCCAAAUACUUUUGUUGGUGCUAAGCGUCAGCAGUUCCCAUUGAUGGAGUUCCACAAAAAGACAUAGAUGCCAAACACCGGGGAGCAGCGGUGCCUGACCUGGAGGCAGAAGCACCACCUCAGUGAAACAGUGGGAAAUGAAGAGUUCUGGCAAAAGUAUUACCAGUCACUGCAGAACUCAAGCUAAUACUUUGAAGUAUAGAAGCAAUCCUGGAACCAGAUUUUCAAAAUAG
Molecule: long non-coding RNA, 490 nt
Organism: Egretta garzetta (little egret)
Lineage: Eukaryota; Metazoa; Chordata; Aves; Pelecaniformes; Ardeidae
Exons: 3
Source: RefSeq, a predicted model, not a curated record